AAGCAUUUUGAUAAACUUUUCUCCUGCUCUAAAGUUUGCCUUGGUCUUUUCUUCUACCUUAUGCCCCUCAGUUGAAUUCUUUCUUCUGAGGCGGCAGGAAUUGACUUUGCUGAUAUAUUUCGGUGCGCUGUGACUCGGAUAACUUUCACCGCUAACAUACAUUGGCACUGCUUGACUGGGAUCCAUGCCCUAAUGGUGAAGCCAGCUGGACUUCCUGGGUCGAGUGGGGACUUGGAGAACUUUUCUGUCUUACAAGAGGAUUGUAAAAUGCAACUAUCAGCACUCUGUCAAAAUGCACCAACCAGCACUCUGGAGCUAGCAAGAGGAUUGUAAAAUGCACCAAUCAGAGAAAAUUGAAACAGGUGUUGUGCUCUCAAACUAAGGAUAAUUUCCGACUUGUUACCUGGUUACCAACAAAGAAAAAAGAGAAGCAUCUUAACACCUGAUUAAUCACUCCAGACUCUGCCUGCUUGGGCUCUGUCACUCUUUAAAUGUGUUACUUUGGACGAGUUACUUAAAGAGUUGUCUGUAAAAUAGAGAAGAAAACAAGGCUUGAAAGAACCCCAGUGUGGGGGAAGUAGGAUGAAAGGGUGGUAUGAGACAAUAGUAGAUCACAGAAUGUUUUACCCUGAGGCCAGACUAUUAUGAGGAGGGUUUCCCUGUUGUCUCAGGCUGAGGAUAGACCAAUGUACAGGGGUCUGGAGGAAGGAAAGAAGCCUAAGUUGCGUUAACAGGGAUCACCAGAAUUCAUCAGGACAAGAUAUCCUCAGUAUAUAAAGACAUGAUUCAAUACAUUGAGAUACACGACACAAGGGACUUCACACAAAUUUCUGCAUUUCACAAGAUUUUUUCUUCUCUACUAUCCAUAUUCUUCCAGUGUUGUGGAACAUGUUCAUAUUACUAUAGAACAUCUUUCUCUGCUCCUUCUUGCCACCAUGCCAGGAACUCUGUCAUGAAGCAUGAAGCUAGAGGUUUUUCUUAAUGAAAAAAAAGUAAGAUUCAGAGAACUUCCAAUGUAUUUUCCAAGUCUAAGUCUAAUCUAACUCCAAAGCUUAUAAGCAGCUCCUAGAGGAUGUCUCUCCUAAUGUAAAGUUAAAAAUGACUGAUGGGGUAAAAUGUAUUCAUCUUCAGAAAAGGACUUUUAGCAAUAAAAAUAUGUAGCCUGAAGAUACAGAUCUUGAAUAAACGAGGAAAAAACUUUAAUACUGCCUAUUGUUAUUCUGCAUUUUAAUUAUAACAUUAUUUAGAUAUGUAAAUAUAACAGUAUUCUGU
RNAcentral lists this long non-coding RNA (1272 nucleotides) under Homo sapiens (human). Its description in RNAcentral is "HSALNT0284343". Lineage: Eukaryota; Metazoa; Chordata; Mammalia; Primates; Hominidae. The record is from RNAcentral.